UUAAACUUGAGAGUUUGAUCAUGGCUCAGAACGUACGCUGGCGGCACGCCUAACACAUGCAAGUCGAACGCAGUAGCAAUACUGAGUGGCAAACGGGUGAGUAACAUGUGGGUAUCUGCCCUUCGGCCUGGAAUAACACGAGGAAACUUGUGCUAAUACCGGAUAAGUCUUUACAGAGAAAGCUUUAUGCACCGAUGGAUGAGCCCGCACCUGAUUAGUUAGUUGGUGAGGUAAUGGCUCACCAAGACAAUGAUCAGUAGCUGAUUUGAGAGGAUGAUCAGCCACAUUGGGACUGAGACACGGCCCAAACUCCUACGGGAGGC
RNAcentral lists this ribosomal RNA (323 nucleotides) under Candidatus Pelagibacterales bacterium. RNAcentral describes it as "bacterial SSU rRNA". It matches the Rfam family "Bacterial small subunit ribosomal RNA", at positions 1 to 349 of the family's 1533-position model. The record is from RNAcentral. Lineage: Bacteria; Pseudomonadati; Pseudomonadota; Alphaproteobacteria; Candidatus Pelagibacterales.